CAGAGGGUGCGGGCGUUAAUCGGAAUUACUGGGCGUAAAGCGCGCGUAGGCGGCUUUGCAAGUCGGGUGUGAAAUCCCCAGGCUUAACCUGGGAACUGCAUUCGAGACUGCAUCGCUAGAGUAUGGGAGAGGGAAGUGGAAUUUCCGGUGUAGCGGUGAAAUGCGUAGAUAUCGGAAGGAACAUCAGUGGCGAAAGCGACUUCCUGGACCAAUACUGACGCUCAUGUGCGAAAGCGUGGGGAGCAAACAGGAUUAGAUACCCUGGUAGUCCACGCCAUAAACGAUGAGAACUGGAUGUCGGGAGGGUCUGCCUCUCGGUGUCGUAGCUAACGCGUUAAGUUCUCCGCCUGGGGAGUACGGCCGCAAGGUUG
This 371-nucleotide ribosomal RNA is filed under the name uncultured organism. RNAcentral's name for it is "bacterial SSU rRNA". It matches the Rfam family "Bacterial small subunit ribosomal RNA", at positions 526 to 896 of the family's 1533-position model. The record is from RNAcentral.